UACGUAGGCAGCGAGCGUUGUUCGGAAUUACUGGGCGUAAAGAGUGUGUAGGCGGUGCUCCCAGUCUGUUGUGAAAUCUCCCGGCUUAACUGGGAGGGUGCAGCGGAAACUAGAGUGCUAGAGGGUGGGAGAGGUAAGCGGAAUUCCUGGUGUAGCGGUGAAAUGCGUAGAUAUCAGGAGGAACACCUGUGGUGUAGACAGCUUACUGGACCGACACUGACGCUGAUGCGCGAAAGCCAGGGGAGCGAACGGG
This 253-nucleotide ribosomal RNA is filed under the name uncultured bacterium. Its description in RNAcentral is "partial 16S ribosomal RNA". It matches the Rfam family "Bacterial small subunit ribosomal RNA", at positions 524 to 776 of the family's 1533-position model. The record is from RNAcentral.